Molecule: ribosomal RNA, 404 nt
Filed under: Actinomycetes bacterium
Lineage: Bacteria; Bacillati; Actinomycetota; Actinomycetes
Description: Actinobacteria bacterium partial 16S ribosomal RNA
Rfam family: Bacterial small subunit ribosomal RNA
Source: RNAcentral
UGGGGAAUAUUGGACAAUGGGCGCAAGCCUGAUCCAGCCAUGCCGCGUGAGGGAUGAAGGCCCUAGGGUUGUAAAGCUCUUUCACCGGUGAAGAUAAUGACGGUAACCGGAGAAGAAGCCCCGGCUAACUUCGUGCCAGCAGCCGCGGUAAUACGAAGGGGGCUAGCGUUGUUCGGAUUUACUGGGCGUAAAGCGCACGUAGGCGGACUAUUAAGUCAGGGGUGAAAUCCCGGGGCUCAACCCCGGAACUGCCUUUGAUACUGGUAGUCUUGAGUUCGGGAGAGGUGGGUGGAAUUCCGAGUGUAGAGGUGAAAUGCGUAGAUAUUCGGAGGAACACCAGUGGCGAAGGCGGCUCACUGGCUCGAUACUGACGCUGAGGUGCGAAAGCGUGGGGAGCAAACAGG